UGGGGAAUCUUGCGCAAUGCGCGAAAGCGUGACGCAGCAACGCCGCGUGGGGGAAGAAGGCCUUCGGGUUGUAAACCCCUUUCAGUUGGGACGAAGCUUCACCUGUUAAUAGCUAAGUGGAGUGACGGUACCUUCAGAAGAAGCCCCGGCUAACUACGUGCCAGCAGCCGCGGUAAUACGUAGGGGGCAAGCGUUGUCCGGAAUCAUUGGGCGUAAAGAGCGUGUAGGCGGUUCGAUAAGUCCGCUGUGAAAGUCCAGGGCUUAACCCUGGAAAGCCGGUGGAUACUGUCGGGCUAGAAUCCGGAAGAGGCGAGUGGAAUUCCUGGUGUAGCGGUGAAAUGCGCAGAUAUCAGGAGGAACACCAAUGGCGAAGGCAGCUCGCUGGGACGGUAUUGACGCUGAGACGCGAAAGCGUGGGGAGCGAACAG
This 428-nucleotide ribosomal RNA is filed under the name uncultured bacterium. RNAcentral describes it as "bacterial SSU rRNA". It matches the Rfam family "Bacterial small subunit ribosomal RNA", at positions 355 to 775 of the family's 1533-position model. The record is from RNAcentral.